GGGUUGUGAGGUUAAGCGACUAAGCGUACACGGUGGAUGCCCUGGCAGUCAGAGGCGAUGAAGGACGUGCUAAUCUGCGAUAAGCGCCGGUAAGGUGAUAUGAACCGUUAUAACCGGCGAUUUCCGAAUGGGGAAACCCAGUGUGAUUCGUCACACUAUCAUUAACUGAAUCCAUAGGUUAAUGAGGCGAACCGGGGGAACUGAAACAUCUAAGUACCCCGAGGAAAAGAAAUCAACCGAGAUUCCCCCAGUAGCGGCGAGCGAACGGGGAGGAGCCCAGAGCCUGAAUCAGCAUGUGUGUUAGUGGAAGCGUCUGGAAAGGCGCGCGAUACAGGGUGACAGCCCCGUACACAAAAGCGCACAUGCUGUGAGCUCGAUGAGUAGGGCGGGACACGUGGUAUCCUGUCUGAAUAUGGGGGGACCAUCCUCCAAGGCUAAAUACUCCUGACUGACCGAUAGUGAACCAGUACCGUGAGGGAAAGGCGAAAAGAACCCCGGCGAGGGGAGUGAAAAAGAACCUGAAACCGUGUACGUACAAGCAGUGGGAGCACCCUUUGGGGUGUGACUGCGUACCUUUUGUAUAAUGGGUCAGCGACUUAUAUUCUGUAGCAAGGUUAACCGUAUAGGGGAGCCG
Molecule: ribosomal RNA, 634 nt
Filed under: Salmonella enterica
Lineage: Bacteria; Pseudomonadati; Pseudomonadota; Gammaproteobacteria; Enterobacterales; Enterobacteriaceae
Also listed under: 1 other name
Description: partial 23S ribosomal RNA
Rfam family: Bacterial large subunit ribosomal RNA
Source: RNAcentral